RNAcentral lists this ribosomal RNA (767 nucleotides) under Trematomus scotti (blackfin notothen). RNAcentral describes it as "partial 16S ribosomal RNA". It matches the Rfam family "Bacterial large subunit ribosomal RNA", at positions 696 to 1958 of the family's 2925-position model. Lineage: Eukaryota; Metazoa; Chordata; Actinopteri; Perciformes; Nototheniidae. The record is from RNAcentral.
AGCCUUUUAGUUUGUGAACCCGAAACUAGGGGAGCUACUCCAAGACAGCCUAAUAAUAGGGCAAACCCGUCUCUGUUGCAAAAGAGUGGGGUGAGCUUUGAGUAGAGGUGACAGACCUACCGAACCUAGUUAUAGCUGGUUGCCCAAGAAAUGAAUAGUAGUUCAGCUUUACGGCUUCUCCCUUCUCAUCAGUACAUGCAACCCCUGAUAUUUUAAGAAACCUUAAAAGUUAUUCAAAAGGGGUACAGCCCUUUUGAAACAAGACACAACUUUCCCAGGAGGGUAAAGAUCAUAAUUACAUAAGGUAAUUGACCCUGGUGGGCUCGAAAGCAGCCACCCCUUAAGAAAGCGUCUAAGCUCGCAAGAAUGUUCCCCCUCUCCCAAUUCUGAUCAUUUUAUCUUACCCCCCUAAAUUUAUUGGGCCACCCCAUGCCAACAUGGGGGUGACCAUGCUAAUAUGAGUAAUAAGAAAGCUAUGGCUUUCUCCCCGCACACAUGUAAAUCGGAAUGGACCCCCCCCCGAAAAUUAACGGCCCCAAUUCAGAGGGCAGUGGAUGAUAAACCAAAUACGAGAAAAUUCUUCAACCGCCAACCGUAACCCAACACAGGUGUGCCCCAGGGAAAAACUAAAAGGGAGAGAAGGACUCGGCAAACACAUAAAGCCUCCCUGUUUACCAAAACAUCGCUUUUGCAAAAAAUGAAUAAGAGGUCCGCCUGCCCUGUGACUAUUAGUUUAACGGCCGCGGUAUUUUGACCGCGCGAAGGUA